AGCGAACGCUGGCGGCAGGCCUAACACAUGCAAGUCGAACGAACCUUUCGGGGUUAGUGGCGGACGGGUGAGUAACACGUGGGAACGUGCCUUUAGGUUCGGAAUAACUCAGGGAAACUUGUGCUAAUACCGAAUGUGCCCUUCGGGGGAAAGAUUUAUCGCCUUUAGAGCGGCCCGCGUCUGAUUAGCUAGUUGGUUGAGGUAAUGGCUCACCAAGGCGACGAUCAGUAGCUGGUCUGAGAGGAUGAUCAGCCACAUUGGGACUGAGACACGGCCCAAACUCCUACGGGAGGCAGCAGUGGGGAAUCUUGCGCAAUGGGCGAAAGCCUGACGCAGCCAUGCCGCGUGAAUGAUGAAGGUCUUAGGAUUGUAAAAUUCUUUCACCGGGGACGAUAAUGACGGUACCCGGAGAAGAAGCCCCGGCUAACUUUGUG
Molecule: ribosomal RNA, 434 nt
Filed under: uncultured bacterium
Lineage: Bacteria
Description: partial 16S ribosomal RNA
Rfam family: Bacterial small subunit ribosomal RNA
Source: RNAcentral